Molecule: long non-coding RNA, 1139 nt
Filed under: Coturnix japonica (Japanese quail)
Lineage: Eukaryota; Metazoa; Chordata; Aves; Galliformes; Phasianidae
Description: lncRNA (ENSCJPG00005001366.1)
Source: RNAcentral
GGUCGUCUUCAGUCUCAGGCACUGCCAGAUUGGCUGGUGAUGUGUCUGCUUGUAUUUUUCAGGAAGGAAAAUGAAUGGCAUUGGGAUUCGUAAAUAACCAGUGAAGCUCUGAAAGCUCAGCAUGAAGCUGAGGAGAAGAGCUGCUACAGGUAAGGAGCCAGUGCUGUUCCAGCAGCGUUGGGCAGAAAUGCAAGUGGUGGGCAGCAAAAUCUCCUUCUUCAAAACAAUGAGUAAUUGCGUUUUCCCACAAAUCAGAUUAUUCACUGUGAAUAAACCCCAUAAUAUUCUUUGUUGGUCCACUGCAGGCUGUGUUUUUGUGCCAUGGAUGGCACAGAGGCUGGCUGAGGGGCAGUCCCAGAGCACCUUCAAUCUCCUCCUGCAGAUGAGAACAGACACGUCACCCCCUCUUGAGAUGGGAAGAAAAUCCCCUGCCUCAGAUCCCGAGGCAGUGGUGUGUCACAUCGACCAACAAAAGCCCCAAAAACCAGUGACAGAAUUCUUCCCAGCAGUAGCUCUGCUCCUGAAACAGGAGCUCCGAGGAAGCCCUUGGAGAGUUGAUUUUAUUCCACUUUAUGAAGCAGGAGAUCAGGCAAGGCAAGGAAGAAUGGCAGCUGAAAAGUCUCUAAAAUAAAUGAUUGGGAUUUACACUUCCCAUUUAAACCCAGGCAGCUGGGUUGCCCAUGGGGUGGGAAACCCGAGGUGGGACUGUCUCUAAGUCCCAAGGGGUCUCUGGGCACGUCCUCCAGGUUCUUUGCAUCCCUUGUUACAUGGGGUACACCAGCCUCUUCCUUCAUCCCAUUGUCAACUGCAGCUCUGGGUAACUUCUUCCUGCUGGGCAGCACAAACUCGAGCCUUUUUUGGAGUCAUUCCUCUGAGGAUGAAGUGACAUUAAUAGCUGGGAUUUCCUUAACAGAGCCCUGCUUGUUUAUAAAGUCCUCGGCCUUCUUAGUGCAAAAGGAAGAGGAGCUCAGUGUGUUUGGGGAUGCAUGGCCAACGAAUGCAGCUUGUGGAUAGUGCCUGCUCCAUUCCCCAGCUGCUCCGAGAGCCUCCAGGCACUCUGUGUUCUCAUUUCCAUCUGGGGGCAGCAGCUCCCCCAUGGCCUGCAAUGCAGCCUAUCUUCUCCCAGCUCAGCUUCCAAG